CCUGACGACCAUAGCAAGUUGGUCCCUCCUUCCCAUCUCGAACAGGACAGUGAAACGACUUCGCGCCGAUGAUAGUGUACAUCCGUAUGUGAAAGUAGGUCAUCGUCAGAC
RNAcentral lists this ribosomal RNA (111 nucleotides) under Nitrosomonadales bacterium. The record is from RNAcentral. Lineage: Bacteria; Pseudomonadati; Pseudomonadota; Betaproteobacteria; Nitrosomonadales.